CUUUACUGUAGCCUGGAAUUGGGUCCGGGCUUCGCUUGCGCAGGAUAGGUGGGAGACUAUGAAGCUGCCCUUGUGGGGGCAGUGGAGUCAUCAGUGAGAUACCACUCUGUCAAGGCUAGAAUUCUAACCGUCUGCCGUUAUCCGGCGACGGAACAGUAUCAGGUGGGCAGUUUGACUGGGGCGGUCGCCUCCUAAAUGGUAACGGAGGCGCGCAAAGGUUCCCUCAGGCUGGUUGGAAAUCAGCCGAAGAGUGUAAAGGCAGAAGGGAGCUUGACUGCAAGAGCAACAACUCAAGCAGGGACGAAAGUCGGCCUUAGUGAUCCGACGGCGCUGAGUGGAAGGGCCGUCGCUCAACGGAUAAAAGUUA
This 367-nucleotide ribosomal RNA is filed under the name uncultured organism. RNAcentral describes it as "bacterial LSU rRNA". It matches the Rfam family "Bacterial large subunit ribosomal RNA", at positions 2099 to 2465 of the family's 2925-position model. The record is from RNAcentral.